This is a long non-coding RNA of Mustela erminea (ermine), 1278 nucleotides long. RefSeq lists it as uncharacterized. The transcript is spliced from 3 exons. The record is from RefSeq and is a predicted model, not a curated record. Lineage: Eukaryota; Metazoa; Chordata; Mammalia; Carnivora; Mustelidae.
UCUUCUCCUUUUCUGGCUGAGCGAGCAGUUUGCGGAACACAUUCCUGUCAAUCAUAAACCCAGAGAGGAAGACACUCAGAGAUGCUGAGGUGACGGGCUCGGACCAACACUGGCCAAGGGGAGCGUUUCUGUGAGGUGAAAGCUGAUCGGGAAAGGACAAAACAAGGCCAUCUGAGUGGAUGUGCACUGCGUGGAGUUGGCUCUGAGCAGGAAGCUGGCGGUUAAGCUCACUCUGGCCAGGCCUGGGGUCUGGCCUGCCUCUGGGCCCCACAUCCAGAGAUGUAGUGGGUCUGGGGUAGGCCUGGGAAUCUGCAUUUUUAACAAGCACCGCUUGGGACCUUGUGGCUUUGGCCCGUCCUAGCCUACCUGUGUCCAUGGGCUGCAGCCUGGCUGAAAGAGUUCAUAUCCCCCUGGGGGGUGGUGGAAAUUCCAUUCCUGUACAUGGUUCCUAUCAGGGGAUCCGCACCACGCUCCAACAGCAAACUAACGAGCUCAAAAUUUCCUGCAAGCCCAGAGAAGGGGGUUUUAUAAGCGAAUCAAGCAGAGAUACAGUCACAGACACACUGAGGGCCAAGGUGGCGCAGACCCUUGGCGGGGAUGAGACUUGGCGGCUCUUACCUACGGCGGCGGCCAGCUGCAGGGGGGUUUCCGAGUAGUUCUCCUCGCCGUGCUCCACGGAGCCCUCCACCUUGGCCCCGGCGUCCAGGAGCAGCUGCGGAGGAAGAGGGGCCACUGAGACAUUUGAGGACAUGCACGAAGCACUGAAGACCAAGUUUAAGAUCUAGAAUGUGCUGGAUAGCUCCUCCUUGAACACCAACUGUACAACAACCAAAGAGUUCAAGCAAUACAACUUAAAUGCCCAGAGGACCUUGGAUGAGGACAUCUCUCCAUACCUGGGGGUGGGGGGCUGUUUCAGAAGGCCCGUGCAAAGGCCCUACUCUAGACCUCUGAGAUCAGAUUCUCAUUAAGGAGUGUCCCAGUAAGUGUCCUUUAGAACCACUCCCUUGGUGACUUGGGCAUGCUUCUUUCCACUGGUUAGAAACCACUAUACUCUACAAAACACCAGGGUCACACCUAAGGGGAUGUUCUAAGGUCUUACACCAGUCAAAUCUUAUGUUCACAUUAUGACAAGCAAAAUGAGCAAAUCCACAACAUCACAGCUCAGGCCCCACCCCCGAGCAACCAGGAACAGCUUUGUCCGUGUGCCACUCGUGUGUGUGAGGCUGCGUGUGGGUCUGUGAUCAUUUCAUAUUGGUUAAAGCCAGGCCAUAUAGAUCA